CAGUGAGAGGUUCUUUGUCAAGCUGAAUAAGAGCGGGUUGCCCAAGUCGCCAGAGAAGACAGAAAGACAAUGCACGCUAUUUGUGGACCUGGGAAGCAGUGAUCUACGAAAAGACGUCUACAUCGUUGUGCACAUCGUAAGAAUAGGGAGAAUGGGAGCAGGGGAGAAGAAGAAUCUGUGCAGCGUGCAGUACAGACGGCCGUUUGGCUGUGCUGUCAUCAGCAUCGCAGAUCUCCUCACUGCUGACUCCAAGGAUGACCAUCUGCUCAAGGUUUAUGCGUGUAACACAGAGAGUGAGUGGCACCAAAUCCAUGAGAACCUCAUCAAAAAGGCAAAUUCAAGAUACAACCUGUCGGGCUCCAAC
Long non-coding RNA from Notothenia coriiceps (black rockcod), 364 nucleotides. RefSeq lists it as uncharacterized. Lineage: Eukaryota; Metazoa; Chordata; Actinopteri; Perciformes; Nototheniidae. The transcript has 4 exons. The record is from RefSeq and is a predicted model, not a curated record.